CCUACGGGUGGCAGCAGUGAGGAAUAUUGGUCAAUGGGCGCGAGCCUGAACCAGCCAAGUCGCGUGAGGGAAGACGGUCCUAUGGAUUGUAAACCUCUUUUGUCGGGGAGCAAAAGACGCCACGCGUGGCGUUCCGAGAGUACCCGAAGAAAAAGCAUCGGCUAAAUCCGUGCCAGCAGCCGCGGUAAUCCGGAGGUUCGGGACGUUAACGGGAUUUCUUGGGUUUAAAGGGUGCGUGGGUGGAUUGUUAAGUCAGUUGUGAAAGUUUGUGGCUCAAACGUAAAAUUGCAGUUGAAACUGGCAGUCGUGAGUACAGUAGAGGUGGGCGGAAUUCGUGGUGUAGCGGUGAAAUGCUUAGAUAUCACGAAGAACUCCGAUUGCGAAGGCAGCUCACUGGACUGCAACUGACACUGAGGCUCGAAAGUGUGGGUAUCAAACAGGAUUAGAUACCCCUGUAGUC
This 460-nucleotide ribosomal RNA is filed under the name uncultured bacterium. RNAcentral's name for it is "partial 16S ribosomal RNA". It matches the Rfam family "Bacterial small subunit ribosomal RNA", at positions 338 to 795 of the family's 1533-position model. The record is from RNAcentral.